This 592-nucleotide small RNA is filed under the name Pan troglodytes (chimpanzee). RNAcentral's name for it is "retained intron". The record is from RNAcentral. Lineage: Eukaryota; Metazoa; Chordata; Mammalia; Primates; Hominidae.
UGCGUGCCGUGGGCAGUUUGUGCCUGUGGGGGGCACCUGGGUGGAGAUGGAUGGGAACCUGCCCAGUGGAGAGGCCAUGGUGAGGCAGUUUUUGCAGGGCCAGAACUUCUUUCUGCAGGAGUUUGGGAAGAUGUGCUCCGAGUUCUGGCUGCCGGACACCUUUGGCUACUCAGCACAGCUCCCCCAGAUCAUGCACGGCUGUGGCAUCAGGCGCUUUCUCACCCAGAAAUUGAGCUGGAAUUUGGUGAACUCCUUCCCACACCAUACAUUUUUCUGGGAGGGCCUGGAUGGCUCCCGUGUACUGGUCCACUUCCCACCUGGCGACUCCUAUGGGAUGCAGGGCAGCGUGGAGGAGGUGCUGAAGACCGUGGCCAACAACCGGGACAAGGGGCGGGCCAACCACAGUGCCUUCCUCUUUGGCUUUGGGGAUGGGGGUGGUGGCCCCACCCAGACCAUGCUGGACCGCCUGAAGCGCCUGAGCAAUACGGAUGGGCUGCCCAGGUCAGGCCGGGCCUUGGCUCUCCUUUAGCCCCACCCUGGGCCCUUGCCAUGAGCCCUGCCUUCCCUCAGACAUUGGGCCCAACCCCUCCUC